GCCCUCGUAGCUCAGUUGGUAGAGCAGCUCGCUCUUAACGAGACGGUCGUAGGUUCGAAUCCUACCGGGGGCACAA
RNAcentral lists this transfer RNA (76 nucleotides) under Candidatus Lloydbacteria bacterium RIFOXYC12_FULL_46_25. RNAcentral's name for it is "tRNA-Lys". It matches the Rfam family "tRNA". Rfam says of the family: Transfer RNA (tRNA) molecules are approximately 80 nucleotides in length. Their secondary structure includes four short double-helical elements and three loops (D, anti-codon, and T loops). Lineage: Bacteria; Candidatus Lloydiibacteriota. The record is from RNAcentral.